GAUGAACGCUGGCGGCGUGCCUAAUACAUGCAAGUCGAGCGAACAGACGAGGAGCUUGCUCCUCUGACGUUAGCGGCGUACGGGUGAGUAACACGUGGAUAACCUACCUAUAAGACUGGGAUAACUUCGGGAAACCGGAGCUAAUACCGGAUAAUAUAUUAAACCGCAUGGUUCAAUAGUGAAAGACGGUUUUGCUGUCAAUUAUAGAUGGAUCCGCGCCGCAUUAGCUAGUUGGUAAGGUAACGGCUUACCAAGGCAACGAUGCGUAGCCGACCUGACAGGGUGAUCGGACACACUGGAACUGAGACACGGUCCAGACUCCUACGGGAAGCAGCAGUAGGGAAUCUUCCGCAAUGGGCGAAAGCCUGACGGAGCAACGCCGCGUGAGUGAUGAAGGUCUUCGGAUCGUAAAACUCUGUUAUUAGGGAAGAACAAAUGUGUAAGUAACUAUGCACGUCUUGACGGUACCUAAUCAGAAAGCCACGGCUAACUACGUG
This 497-nucleotide ribosomal RNA is filed under the name uncultured bacterium. Its description in RNAcentral is "partial 16S ribosomal RNA". It matches the Rfam family "Bacterial small subunit ribosomal RNA", at positions 28 to 507 of the family's 1533-position model. The record is from RNAcentral.